GACGGGGGAUGCAAGUGUUAUCCGGAAUCACUGGGCGUAAAGCGUCUGCAGGUGGUUUCCUAAGUCCACUGUUAAACCUUGAGGCUCAACCUCAAAUCUGCAUUGGAAACUAGGAGACUUGAGUAUGGUAGGGGUAGAGGGAAUUUCCAGUGGAGCGGUGAAAUGCGUAGAUAUUGGAAAGAACACCGAUGGCGAAGGCACGCUACUGGGCUAUUACUGACACUCAGAGACGAAAGCUAGGGGAGCAAACAGG
Molecule: ribosomal RNA, 253 nt
Filed under: uncultured bacterium
Lineage: Bacteria
Description: partial 16S ribosomal RNA
Rfam family: Bacterial small subunit ribosomal RNA
Source: RNAcentral